This 1150-nucleotide ribosomal RNA is filed under the name Weissella confusa. RNAcentral describes it as "bacterial SSU rRNA". It matches the Rfam family "Bacterial small subunit ribosomal RNA", at positions 331 to 1475 of the family's 1533-position model. Lineage: Bacteria; Bacillati; Bacillota; Bacilli; Lactobacillales; Lactobacillaceae. The record is from RNAcentral.
CCUUUCUCCUGCGGAGGCCCGCAGUAGGGAUUUCUCCCCAAGGGGCGAAAGCCUGAAGGAACAACCGCCGCGUGUGUGAAGAAGGGUUUCGGCUUGUAAAACCCUGUUGUAAGAGAAGAAUGACAUUGAGAGUAACUGUUCAAUGUGUGACGGUAUCUUACCAGAAAGGAACGGCUAAAUACGUGCCAGCAGCCGCGGUAAUACGUAUGUUCCAAGCGUUAUCCGGAUUUAUUGGGCGUAAAGCGAGCGCAGACGGUUAUUUAAGUCUGAAGUGAAAGCCCUCAGCUCAACUGAGGAAUUGCUUUGGAAACUGGAUGACUUGAGUGCAGUAGAGGAAAGUGGAACUCCAUGUGUAGCGGUGAAAUGCGUAGAUAUAUGGAAGAACACCAGUGGCGAAGGCGGCUUUCUGGACUGUAACUGACGUUGAGGCUCGAAAGUGUGGGUAGCAAACAGGAUUAGAUACCCUGGUAGUCCACACCGUAAACGAUGAGUGCUAGGUGUUUGAGGGUUUCCGCCCUUAAGUGCCGCAGCUAACGCAUUAAGCACUCCGCCUGGGGAGUACGACCGCAAGGUUGAAACUCAAAGGAAUUGACGGGGACCCGCACAAGCGGUGGAGCAUGUGGUUUAAUUCGAAGCAACGCGAAGAACCUUACCAGGUCUUGACAUCCCUUGACAACUCCAGAGAUGGAGCGUUCCCUUCGGGGACAAGGUGACAGGUGGUGCAUGGUUGUCGUCAGCUCGUGUCGUGAGAUGUUGGGUUAAGUCCCGCAACGAGCGCAACCCUUAUUACUAGUUGCCAGCAUUUAGUUGGGCACUCUAGUGAGACUGCCGGUGACAAACCGGAGGAAGGUGGGGAUGACGUCAAAUCAUCAUGCCCCUUAUGACCUGGGCUACACACGUGCUACAAUGGCGUAUACAACGAGUUGCCAACCCGCGAGGGUGAGCUAAUCUCUUAAAGUACGUCUCAGUUCGGAUUGUAGGCUGCAACUCGCCUACAUGAAGUCGGAAUCGCUAGUAAUCGCGGAUCAGCACGCCGCGGUGAAUACGUUCCCGGGUCUUGUACACACCGCCCGUCACACCAUGAGAGUUUGUAACACCCAAAGCCGGUGGGGUAACCUUCGGAGCCAGCCGUCUAAGUGACAGAGUUGGU